This 210-nucleotide long non-coding RNA is filed under the name Citrus sinensis (sweet orange). RNAcentral's name for it is "long non-coding RNA (CSIN_LNC004066)". The record is from RNAcentral. Lineage: Eukaryota; Viridiplantae; Streptophyta; Magnoliopsida; Sapindales; Rutaceae.
GUUCCAAUUGAUUGUAUCACCUGCUUCCUACUUCUAGGAUGAACAAUGAAACGAACCUAGAUAAGAGAAAGAUUGUUUAAGUGACAGUUAAUAAAAAUUCUGUUACAUAAAAGUACAUAAUUGAAAAAUGACAGCAAAAGGAUUAAGUAGAAUGCAGUGGAUUUUUAAGAAUUACCAGAACAGAUUUCCACAAACGCUCUUUUGUCUCCA